This 851-nucleotide ribosomal RNA is filed under the name Vreelandella aquamarina. Its description in RNAcentral is "bacterial SSU rRNA". It matches the Rfam family "Bacterial small subunit ribosomal RNA", at positions 387 to 1228 of the family's 1533-position model. The record is from RNAcentral. Lineage: Bacteria; Pseudomonadati; Pseudomonadota; Gammaproteobacteria; Oceanospirillales; Halomonadaceae.
UCCAGCCAUGCCGCGUGUGUGAAGAAGGCCCUCGGGUUGUAAAGCACUUUCAGCGAGGAAGAACGCCUAGCGGUUAAUACCCGCUAGGAAAGACAUCACUCGCAGAAGAAGCACCGGCUAACUCCGUGCCAGCAGCCGCGGUAAUACGGAGGGUGCAAGCGUUAAUCGGAAUUACUGGGCGUAAAGCGCGCGUAGGUGGCUUGAUAAGCCGGUUGUGAAAGCCCCGGGCUCAACCUGGGAACGGCAUCCGGAACUGUCAAGCUAGAGUGCAGGAGAGGAAGGUAGAAUUCCCGGUGUAGCGGUGAAAUGCGUAGAGAUCGGGAGGAAUACCAGUGGCGAAGGCGGCCUUCUGGACUGACACUGACACUGAGGUGCGAAAGCGUGGGUAGCAAACAGGAUUAGAUACCCUGGUAGUCCACGCCGUAAACGAUGUCGACCAGCCGUUGGGUGCCUAGCGCACUUUGUGGCGAAGUUAACGCGAUAAGUCGACCGCCUGGGGAGUACGGCCGCAAGGUUAAAACUCAAAUGAAUUGACGGGGGCCCGCACAAGCGGUGGAGCAUGUGGUUUAAUUCGAUGCAACGCGAAGAACCUUACCUACUCUUGACAUCCUGCGAAUUUGGUAGAGAUACCUUAGUGCCUUCGGGAACGCAGAGACAGGUGCUGCAUGGCUGUCGUCAGCUCGUGUUGUGAAAUGUUGGGUUAAGUCCCGUAACGAGCGCAACCCUUGUCCUUAUUUGCCAGCGCGUAAUGGCGGGAACUCUAAGGAGACUGCCGGUGACAAACCGGAGGAAAGGUGGGGACGACGUCAAGUCAUCAUGGCCCCUUACGAGUAGGGCUACACACGUGCUAC